RNAcentral lists this ribosomal RNA (1424 nucleotides) under metagenome. Its description in RNAcentral is "bacterial LSU rRNA". It matches the Rfam family "Bacterial large subunit ribosomal RNA", at positions 1473 to 2925 of the family's 2925-position model. The record is from RNAcentral.
CCCUUGUGGAGAGCAUGAGCCGGGAAAGGAAAGACCGGUGCAAGCGGGACAGUAGCCAUGCAGGCAAAUCCGUGUGGCAAUACGAAGACGUGACGCGGACCGAAAUAAAGUAGGGAAGCAUGUGAGCCAUGUGCCAAGAAAAGCCGCUAUAGAUCAUACCGUACCCGUACCGUAAACCGACACAGGUAGUUGAGGAGAGAAUCCUAAGGCCGACGGGAGAAGCAUUGUUAAGGAACUCGGCAAAAUGACCCCGUAACUUCGGGAGAAGGGGUGCCCACGCGAGUGGGCCGCAGAGAAUAGGCUCAAGCAACUGUUUAGCAAAAACACAGGUCUAUGCGAAACCGAAAGGUGAGGUAUAUGGGCUGACGCCUGCCCGGUGCUGGAAGGUUAAGAGGAGGAGUCAGGCAACGAAGCUCCGAAUUUAAGCCCCAGUAAACGGCGGCCGUAACAAUAACGGUCCUAAGGUAGCGAAAUUCCUUGUCGGGUAAGUUCCGACCCGCACGAAAGGCGUAAUGAUUUGAGCACUGUCUCGACAAUGCACCCGGUGAAAUUGAAGUACCAGUGAAGAUGCUGGUUACCUGCGCCAGGACGGAAAGACCCCAUGGAGCUUUACUCCAGUUUGAUACUGGGAUUCGAUACUGAAUGUACAGGAUAGGUGGGAGGCUGAGAAGCGUGGACGCCAGUCUGCGGUGAGCCGCUGUUGGGAUACCACCCUUUGAGUAUUGGAUUUCUAACCUGCGCCCGUGACCCGGGCGGGGGACAAUGUCUGACGGGGAGUUUGACUGGGGCGGUCGCCUCCGAAAGGGUAUCGGAGGCGCUCAAAGGUUCCCUCAGAAUGGUUGGAAACCAUUCGCAGAGUGCAAAGGCAGAAGGGAGCUUGACUGUGACACCGACGGGUGGAGCAGGUACGAAAGUAGGACUUAGUGAUCCGGUGGUAUGAAAGUGGGAUUGCCAUCGCUCAACGGAUAAAAGCUACCCUGGGAUAACAGGCUUAUCACUCCCAAGAGUUCACAUCGACGGAGUGGUUUGGCACCUCGAUGUCGGCUCAUCGCAUCCUGGGGCUGUAGCAGGUCCCAAGGGUUGGGCUGUUCGCCCAUUAAAGCGGUACGCGAGCUGGGUUCAGAACGUCGUGAGACAGUUCGGUCCCUAUCCGGCGCAGGCGUAGGAUAUUUGAGAGGAGCUGUCCUUAGUACGAGAGGACCGGGAUGGACAGACCGCUGGUGUAUCUGUUGGUGACCAACACCAUGGCAGAGUAGCCAAGUCUGGCAGGGAUAAACGCUGAAGGCAUCUAAGCGUGAAGCCCCCCUCAAGAUGAGACAUCCCAAUAAGUAAGACCCCUUAGAGAGUAUGAGGUAGAUAGGCUUAAGGUGUAAGCAUAGUAAUAUGUUCAGCUGAUAAGUACUAAUAGGUCGAGGGCUUAUUGA